UCCCUCACGCACAAAUUUUCGUUUUUUCUAUUUUAACAUUUUUGUUUGCAGACGCUCUUAAACCCUAAUCCAAACCCUAAAUAUCCCAAAGGAACUCAACCAUUCUCAGAGAUCCAAGAAGGUAUAGUAGGAAUCAAUAAUGGAAGACACAAAGGAGAACGAUGCUUACGAGGAGGAGCUUCUCGACUAUGAAGAAGAUGAUGAAAAAGCUCCUGAUUCCAUCUCCGGCAAAGUUACAAACGGCGAGUCCGCCAAGAAGGGUUACGUUGGCAUUCACAGUUCCGGAUUCCGAGACUUUCUGCUAAAGCCAGAGCUAUUGCGGGCUAUUGUGGAUUCAGGGUUUGAGCAUCCUUCUGAAGUGCAACAUGAAUGUAUCCCACAAGCAAUUCUAGGCAUGGAUGUUCUUUGUCAAGCUAAAUCUGGAAUGGGUAAAACUGCUGUUUUUGUUCUUUCAACUCUGCAACAGAUUGAACCUGUUGCUGGUCAGGUUGCUGCCAUGGUUCUAUGUCACACAAGGGAAUUAGCUUAUCAGAUCUGUCAUGAAUUUGAGAGGUUCAGCACAUACUUGCCUGAUAUCAAGGUUGCUGUUUUCUAUGGUGGUGUCAAUAUCAAAAUUCACAAGGAGCUUCUGAAGAAUGAAUGCCCGCAUAUAGUUGUUGGAACUCCUGGAAGAAUACUUGCACUGGCUAGAGAUAAGGACCUGUCUUUGAGGAAUGUGAGGCAUUUUGUACUGGAUGAAUGUGACAAAAUGCUUGAAUCACUUGACAUGAGAAGAGAUGUGCAGGCAAUUUUCAAGACGACUCCUCAUGACAAGCAAGUAAUGAUGUUUUCAGCAACACUCAGCAAAGAGAUUCGCCCCAUUUGCAAGAAAUUUAUGCAAGAUCCAAUGGAAAUUUAUGUUGAUGAUGAGGCCAAGUUGACCCUUCAUGGACUUGUACAGCACUACAUCAAAUUGAGCGAAGCGGAGAAGAACCGGAAGCUGAAUGACCUGCUGGAUGCUUUGGACUUCAAUCAAGUUGUUAUAUUUGUCAAGAGUGUAAGCAGAGCAGCAGAGCUGAAUAAAUUGCUUGUUGACUGCAAUUUUCCAUCUAUCUGCAUCCACUCUGGAAUGACUCAGGAAGAGAGAUUGACUCGCUAUAAGGGUUUCAAGGAGGGGCACAAGAGAAUUCUUGUGGCAACUGAUUUGGUUGGGAGGGGCAUCGAUAUUGAAAGGGUCAACAUUGUUAUUAACUAUGACAUGCCAGAUUCUGCAGAUACUUACCUUCACAGAGUGGGUAGAGCUGGUAGGUUUGGAACUAAAGGUCUUGCCAUCACAUUUGUCUCGUCUGCAUCAGAUUCUGAUGUUCUUAAUAAGGUUCAGCAGAGGUUCGAAGUGGAUAUUAAAGAGCUUCCUGAGCAGAUUGAUACUUCCACAUACAUGCCAUCAUAGUGGGAUGAGGUCUUCCUGGAGAAUAUUCAAGUGAAGUUGCAUGAAGAUAAGGGAACUAACAAUAAGGUGGUUAUGCUUUUGUUCAACAAACAGUGUGGGAAUUUGAAUAAUUAAUUUGAAGAAUGAGUAGCCGCCUCUGCUUCGGCACCUUUAGAUUGAUGUACCUCAUGGAACCCAUACUUGUUUUAGUCAGUUUGAGAACUUCAAAUGUUAUGUGUAAUCUUUUUAAGAAAGCAACUGAUGUCCCUUCUGCUGCCUAGUUGCUAGAUUAAUUCAGGCCAGUUUCCAGAAUACUAAUUGAUGUUAAAUUUGUUCACUUGAAGUUUCGAGAACUAUAUUUGUGAUGAGAAACUGUAAGCUAACUGAAACUUAAUCUGUAAACUCUGUUGAUCUGAUGAAGCUGCACUGUCACGUGAAAGAGCUCUUUUGAUAAUAUGACGGAUGCAGCUAAACAAGUUCAAGAUCAAUGUCUUCUUGACAAUUACUUCUAAAAAAGAAAAUGG
Molecule: RNA transcript, 1932 nt
Organism: Solanum dulcamara
Lineage: Eukaryota; Viridiplantae; Streptophyta; Magnoliopsida; Solanales; Solanaceae
Gene name: DEAD-box ATP-dependent RNA helicase 15-like
Exons: 13
Source: RefSeq, a predicted model, not a curated record